GACGAACGCUGGCGGCGUGCUUAACACAUGCAAGUCGAACGGAAAGGCCUGCUUUCCCUUGUGGAUUGCGGGUACUCGAGUGGCGAACGGGUGAGUAACACGUGAGUGAUCUGCCCCCAACUUGGGUAUAAGCCUGGGAAACUGGGUCUAAUUCCCGAUAGGACUGCAGGGUGGUGCCUGUGGUGGAAAACGAUUUUCUAGUGGUUGGGGAUGAGCUCGCGGCCUAUCAGCUUGUUGGUGGGGUAAUGGCCUACCAAGGCGGCGACAGGUAGCCGGCCUGAGAGGGGGGACGGCCACAUUGGGACUGAGAUACGGCCCAGACUCCUACGGGAGGCAGCAGUGGGGAAUAUUGCACAAUGGGCGGAAGCCUGAUGCAGCGACGCCGCGUGGGGGAUGACGGCCUUCGGGUUGUAAACUCCUUUCGACCGCGAGGAAGCCACCUGGUUGGAAGGGUGGUGACGGUAGUGGUAGAAGAAGCACCGGCUAACUACGUG
Molecule: ribosomal RNA, 494 nt
Filed under: uncultured bacterium
Lineage: Bacteria
Description: partial 16S ribosomal RNA
Rfam family: Bacterial small subunit ribosomal RNA
Source: RNAcentral